GUUCAUGGCUCAGGAUGAACGCUGGCGGCGUGCUUAACACAUGCAAGUCGAGCGAAGCACUUAAGUUUGAUUCUUCGGAUGAAGACUUUUGUGACUGAGCGGCGGACGGGUGAGUAACGCGUGGGUAACCUGCCUCAUACAGGGGGAUAACAGUUAGAAAUGGCUGCUAAUACCGCAUAAGACCACAGUACUGCAUGGUACAGUGGUAAAAACUCCGGUGGUAUGAGAUGGACCCGCGU
This 239-nucleotide ribosomal RNA is filed under the name uncultured bacterium. Its description in RNAcentral is "partial 16S ribosomal RNA". It matches the Rfam family "Bacterial small subunit ribosomal RNA", at positions 15 to 236 of the family's 1533-position model. The record is from RNAcentral.